RNAcentral lists this ribosomal RNA (688 nucleotides) under Mucor hiemalis. RNAcentral describes it as "eukaryotic LSU rRNA". It matches the Rfam family "Eukaryotic large subunit ribosomal RNA", at positions 43 to 622 of the family's 3401-position model. The record is from RNAcentral. Lineage: Eukaryota; Fungi; Mucoromycota; Mucoromycetes; Mucorales; Mucoraceae.
UCCUUUACGAGGAAAAGAAAAUAACAAUGAUUUCCCUAGUAACGGCGAGUGAAGAGGAAAGAGCUCAAAGUUGGAACCUAUUUGGCUUAGCUAAAUCGGAUUGUAAACUGUAGAAGUGUUUUCCAGACACGCCUGGUAAAAAAGUCCUUUGGAACAGGGCAUCAUAGAGGGUGAGAAUCCCGUCAUUGGCCAGAGCUGUUGUCUUUUGUGAUACAUUUUCAAAGAGUCAGGUUGUUUGGGAAUGCAGCCUAAAUUGGGUGGUAAAUCUCACCUAAAGCUAAAUAUUUGCGAGAGACCGAUAGCGAACAAGUACCGUGAGGGAAAGAUGAAAAGAACUUUGAAAAGAGAGUUAAACAGUAUGUGAAAUUGUUAAAAGGGAACCGUUUGGAGCCAGACUGGCUUAAUCGUAAUCAAUCUAGGCUUUGGCCUGGAUGCACUUGCGGUUUAUGCCGGCCAACGACAGUUUUGUUUGGGAGAAAAAAUUACAUUGAAUGUGGCCCCUCGGGGUGUUAUAGCUUUGUAAAAAAUAUCCUGGACUGGACUGAGGAACGCAGUGAAUGCCUUUAGGCAAGAUUGCUGGGUGCUUUCGCUAAUACAUGCUAGAAUUUCUGCUUCGGGUGGUGCUAGUGUUUAAAGGAGGAACUCGCCUGGUAUAUUUUAUUCGCUUAUGGUGUGCUAAGUAGCACGG